Long non-coding RNA from Oncorhynchus kisutch (coho salmon), 5895 nucleotides. RefSeq lists it as uncharacterized. Lineage: Eukaryota; Metazoa; Chordata; Actinopteri; Salmoniformes; Salmonidae. The transcript is spliced from 2 exons. The record is from RefSeq and is a predicted model, not a curated record.
AACCAAGCCACCCAGCCCACCAAACCAAGCCACCCAGCCCACCAAACCAAGCCACCCAGCCCACUAAACCAAGCCACCCAGCCCACUAAACCAAGCCACCCAGCCCACUAAACUAAGCCACCCAACCCACCAAACCAAGCCACCCAGCCCACCAAACCAAGCCACCCAGCCCACUAAACCAAGCCACCCAGCCCACUAAACCAAGCCACCCAGCCCACCAAACCAAGCCACCCAGCCCACUAAACCAAGCCACCCAGCCCACCAAACCAAGCCUCCCAGCAAGCUACACACCAAGCGUCUCGUCUCUCCCUAGCUGUUCUAUCCUGUCCUACAGCUCAUAUAGAGACAAUGUAUUAUAACUGUACAUUACAUAUAGCCUCUAAUAUAUAAAUAUAUAUAUAUAUAUGUAUACCCUGUCAGUAGCUGCCCUCCACUCUACUGUCAGUAGCUGCCCUCCACUCUACUGUCAGUAGCUGCCCUCCACUCUACUGUCAGUAGCUGCCCUCCACUCUACUGUCAGUAGCUGCCCUCCACUCUACUGUCAGUAGCUGCCCUCCACUCUACUGUCAGUAGCUGCCCUCCACUCUACUGUCUGAGCCAGUGGUGUAGUGGAGGGUCAACACAUGUAGACGCCGGUCACCUUUUCUUUACUAUCGGGGGGAAAUGAAUUGAAAUAUAGGGAUUGAAUGUUACCUUUUUCACUGGAAUGGUGUGGACUGGGUUACGAUUCAGUAGAAUUGGGUUCAACUCUGGUUUCAACUGGACUGGGUUACGAUUCAGUAGGAUUGGGUUCAACUCUGGUUUCAACUGGACUGGGGUUACGAUUCAGUAGGAUUUGGUUCAACUCUGGUUUCAACUGGACCCGGUUACGAUUCAGUAGGAUUGGGAUCAAAUCUGGGUUCAACUGGACCGGGGUGAGAUUCAGUAGGAUUGGGAUCAACUCUGGUUUCAACUGGACUGGGUUACGAUUCAGUAGGAUUGGGAUCAACUCUGGUUUCAACUGGACCGGGGUUACGAUUCAGUAGGAUUGGGAUCAACUCUGGUUUCAACUGGACCGGGGUUAUGAUUCAGUAGGCUUGGGGUCAACUCUGUUUUCAACUGGACCGGGGUGAGAUUCAGUAAGAUUGGGAUCAACUCUGGGUUCAACUGGACCGGGGUGAGAUUCAGUAAGAUUGGGAUCAACUCUGGUUUCAACUGGACCGGGGUUACGAUUCAGUAGGAUUGGGAUCAACUCUGGUUUCAACUGGACCGGGGUUAUGAUUCAGUAGGCUUGGGGUCAACUCUGUUUUCAACUGGACCGGGGUGAGAUUCAGUAAGAUUGGGAUCAACUCUGGGUUCAACUGGACCGGGGUGAGAUUCAGUAAGAUUGGGAUCAACUCUGGUUUCAACUGGACCGGGGUUACGUUUCAGUAGGAUUGGGUUCAACUCUGGUUUCAACUGGACCGGGGUUAUGAUUCAGUAGGCUUGGGGUCAACUCUGGUUUCAACUGGACCGGGGUUAUGAUUCAGUAGGCUUGGGGUCAACCCUGUUUUCAGUUCAGACAAUUUGAAAUGCUACUUGUCAAUAGUCAGAAUCCACAUAGAAAAAUAAUUUGUUAUUUCAAUACAAUCAUUGAAAUCCUGAGUUGAGGUCAGCACUCACACUUUCACACAAAUCUUCCAUUGACAUCAACAUAUGAUCUACACAGAAGUCUACUUUUAAGUGUGCACAGAGAUCUCAAGGACUAGGAUUCCUCCCAGACUGACUUUGGGUUCACUUUGGGUCCGAUUCAGACUUGAGAUAAGUAGACUUACAGUAAAUCAUUUGUUUUUGUUUUACUGAAGUCCACAUUUAGUAAUAAACUCAAGUCUGAAUUGUGCCCUUCCUGACCUAAUUUUGAUCUGAAAUGGGGUUUGACCCGAAACCCUGCUGUCUGUCUGUCCCCCUUCAGGGCUGUCUGUCAUUCUGCUGCUCACGUAGACAACCAGACAGUCUGGUUUUAAUCCAGAUGUUUAACAUAGCUGACAUUAGUUUUGUGUGUCUGCCUGUUUGUAUUAAGAUUAAAAAAUAUAACAUGGUGGAAGUUGCUCUCUCUGUGAGAUUCCCCCAAUAACACAAAUAUAUUAGUGUGUGUGUGUCUAGUCAAAUGUAGUGCACUAUAUAGGGAAUAGGGUGCUAUUUGGGACUCAGCCGAGGUGUAGUUAAGACCGUUUCUAGAUAAUGUUUUAAAGAGGAGUACUGUGUUGUUUAGGGUUACAGAAUUCCUCUAUCUUUCCCAACACUCCCAAAGUUUUCCAGAAAUCCCGGUUGGACGAUUCCUGGAAUGGCGAUCGGAUAAGCAGGAAAUACGGGAAUCGUCCAACUAGGAUUUGUUAACCUCCUCAAAGUUCCAUGGUAUUUAACAGAGUUUUUGCAACGCUACUAGGUGUCUAGAUAACAUCUUUAAACAGGAGGGUGUAUUGAGGUAAUACUGUAGUGUUGAUGGCACCAGUUAACUGACCAGUCUGAUUUUAGGAAGAAACAACUCACUCUGGACACAGAUCCAGUUACCUGACCAGUCUGAUUUUAGGAAGAAACGACUCACUCUGGACACAGAUCCAGUUAACUGACCAGUCUGAUUUUAGGAAGAAACGACUCACUCUGGACACAGAUCCAGUUAACUGACCAGUCUGAUUUUAGAAGAAACGACUCAGUCUGGACACAGAUUCAGUUAACUGACCAUCCAGUUAACUGACCAGUCUGAUUUUAGGAAGAAACGACUCACUCUGGACACUGAUCCUAAAUUGAGAUGUAUUCUCAUCAAUAGCAGCAUUAGAGCCACAUUUUUAUAGUGCAAAAGCAAUGUGCCAAAAUGUACGGUUAAACUUGUUAUAAUCUGGAGGUUGGAUUUCAUUUAACACUUUUCUUCAAUGUGUGUUUAUAAAGAGACGUUUGUUAUGGCAUCGCUCCGUUUACUGAACUCUAGUGAGGCAAUCGCCUCUUUUAUAACGCGUAUUGUUGAAGAAAAGUUUUCAAAUUAAAUCUCACUGUGAGAUUAUGAGGUUUACUGUCAUUUUUUUUCGCGCUAUGAAAAUAGGAACCGUUCGUCAGGAUCUGGGAACCUUCCCCUGUUGAUGAAAUGGAACAGAGUGGGUCUCGUCGAAACUGUCUGAAUCCCGAACGGCACCCAGUUUAUGGUCUGGGAACCUUCCCCUGUUGAUGUUGAUGAAAUGGAAACAGAGUGGGUCUCGUAGAAACUGUCUGAAUCCCGAACGGCACCCAGUUCCCGAAUUAGUCCACUACUUUUGACCACAAACCUAUUUUUUAUUUUACCUUUAUUUUACUAGGCAAGUCAGUUAAGAACAAAUUCUUAUUUUCAAUGAUGGCCUGGGAACAGUGGGUUAACUGCCUGUUCAGGGGCAGAACGACAGAUUUGUACCUUGUCAGCUCAGGGAUUUGAACUUGCAACCUUCCGGUUACUAGUCCAACGCUCUAACCACUAGGCUACCCUGCCGCCCCUGUAGAGCUCUGGUCAACAAGUAAUGCGCUUAUAUAGGGAAUAGGGUGCCAUUUUGGAUUGAGACACUAUUGUUCAACUGAAAAUAUAAUUUGAUCAGGAGGUGUUUUAAAUGUUUUUAUUUUUGAUUGUGUCCGACAGCCUUUAUCCAAAACGGGGAUGUGCACGCAGGUCACGUUUGUGUCUUAAAGAGUGUGAGUUUGUCCCAAAUGACACCCUACUCCCUAUGUAGUGCACUACUACAGUAACCACAGAGGGUUUAGCCAAUCAGAGCUCUGGUUAAAAGUAGUGCACUACUACAGUAACCACAGAGGGUUUAGCCAAUCAGAGCUCUGGUUAAAAGUAGUGCACUACUACAGUAACCACAGAGGGUUUAGCCAAUCAGAGCUCUGGUUAAAAGUAGUGCACUACUACAGUAACCACAGAGGGUUUAGCCAAUCAGAGCUCUGGUUAAAAGUUGUGCACUACUACAGUAACCACAGAGGGUUUAGCCAAUCAGAGCUCUGGUUAAAAGUAGUGCACUACUACAGUAACCACAGAGGGUUUAGCCAAUCAGAGCUCUGGUUAAAAGUAGUGCACUACUACAGUAACCACAGAGGGUUUAGCCAAUCAGAGCUCUGGUUAAAAGUAGUGCACUACUACAGUAACCACAGAGGGUUUAGCCAAUCAGAGCUCUGGUUAAAAGUAGUGCACUACUACAGUAACCACAGAGGGUUUAGCCAAUCAGAGCUCUGGUUAAAAGUAGUGCACUACUACAGUAACCACAGAGGGUUUAGCCAAUCAGAGCUCUGGUUAAAAGUUGUGCACUACUACAGUAACCACAGAGGGUUAGCCAAUCAGAGCUCUGGUUAAAAGUAGAGCACUAUAUAGGGAAUAGUGCUCCAUUUGGGCAGUAGUUAAUCUGGUUGUAGGUAGUGUACUAUAUAGGGAACAGGGCUCCAUUUGGGCAGUAGUUCAUCUGGUUGUAGGUAGUGUACUAUAUAGGGAACAGGGCUCCAUUUGGGGAGUAGUUCAUCUGGUUGUAGGUAGUGUACUAUAUAGGGAACAGGGCUCCAUUUGGGGAGUAGUUCAUCUGGUUGUAGGUAGUGUACUAUAUAGGGAACAGGGCUCCAUUUGGGGAGUAGUUCAUCUGGUUGUAGGUAGUGUACUAUAUAGGGAACAGGGCUCCAUUUGGGGAGUAGUUCAUCUGGUUGUAGGUAGUGUACUAUAUAGGGAACAGGGCUCCAUUUGGGGAGUAGUUCAUCUGGUUGUAGGUAGUGUACUAUAUAGGGAACAGGGCUCCAUUUGGGGAGUAGUUCAUCUGGUUGUAGGUAGUGUACUAUAUAGGGAACAGGGCUCCAUUUGGGGAGUAGUUCAUCUGGUUGUAGGUAGUGUACUAUAUAGGGAACAGGGCUCCAUUUGGGGAGUAGUUCAUCUGGUUGUAGGUAGUGUAAAUACAAAAUAUAUAAUGUCCUUUUUUUCCCACAGCAGAAGAAUGGAUGUUUUUUAAAACCUUUUCUAUUUAAUAUAUAUUUAAAAUGUUGUGCUUAUUUCUUUCUGUUGAUUUGUUGUCUUCUAUGUGGACAGGGACAGGAAAGAGACCUUUUCAUUUGGUUUGUUAAAUACGUCUUUUCACAACGUUGUCUUGCCUCAAUAAGUUUUUUUUUUUUCAAUAAGGGACAACCUUUGUAUCGGUGAAGCUGAUUUGACUAGAACUUCAAAUAGAUCCUUUUCUCCGUUGUGAAUGAGAAACCACUUCUUCAAGUUCACCUGCAGCCUUGAUUCCAAUGCACCUUUUAUACAGAGCAACGUGUAACAGUUCAGAUGGGGACGACUGGACAUGAUGACGCAGAAAACACAUUACAUGUGUCCAGUAGCAAAUUAAUGUUUUUAUUCUGUGUUUAAAGAAAUAAAUCGAUUUUCUAUCCUGUUAGAGGUUACCGGGGUCGGAGGUCAAUCACUUUUCUAUCAUGUUAGAGGUUACCGGGGUCGGGGGUCAAAAUCACUCCUAUCAUGUUAUAGGUUACCAGGGUCCGGGGUCAAAAUCACUCCUAUCAUGUUAUAGGUUACCAGGGUCGGGGGUCAAAAUCACUCCUAUCAUGUUAUAGGUUACCGGGGUCGGGGGUCAAAAUCACUUUUCAAAUUCCAGUCAAAUGAGAAUGUUCACUGACAUUCCAGUUCCAACUGUCAUCAAUGCCUUUCAAUAAAGAACAUUUGGAAUUCGGUUUACUUAGUGAAUUGAAAUGGAGCUCCACCCUGAUCGCUAUAUUACUGUGUAUACUGAUAGGUGUAUUACGUACGCUGGACAACCCUUUUCCCCAACCAAUGGUAGAACUGUUGUGGCGCCCUCUGCUGUUUAAUGGAAGUAGUGCAGUCUAAUGUUCCCCCCUUCAUAUCUUCACACACCUGGGUCGUGUUCAUUAGUAGCACACCUUAGCUGG